AUUGAACGCUGGCGGCAGGCUUAACACAUGCAAGUCGAGCGGGGUGAUGGUGCUUGCACUAUCACUUAGCGGCGGACGGGUGAGUAAUGCUUAGGAAUCUGCCUAUUAGUGGGGGACAACAUCUCGAAAGGGAUGCUAAUACCGCAUACGUCCUACGGGAGAAAGCAGGGGAUCACUUGUGACCUUGCGCUAAUAGAUGAGCCUAAGUCGGAUUAGCUAGUUGGUGGGGUAAAGGCCUACCAAGGCGACGAUCUGUAGCGGGUCUGAGAGGAUGAUCCGCCACACUGGGACUGAGGCACGGCCCAGACUCCUACGGGAGGCAGCAGUGGGGAAUAUUGGACAAUGGGGGGAACCCUGAUCCGGCCAUGCCGGGUGUGUGAAGAAGGCCUUAUGGUUGUAAAGCACUUUAAGCGAGGAGGAGGCUCUUUUGGUUAAUACCCAGAAUGAGUGGACGUUACUCGCAGAAUAAGCACCGGCUAACUCUGUGCCAGCCGCCGCCGUAA
This 503-nucleotide ribosomal RNA is filed under the name uncultured bacterium. RNAcentral describes it as "partial 16S ribosomal RNA". It matches the Rfam family "Bacterial small subunit ribosomal RNA", at positions 30 to 523 of the family's 1533-position model. The record is from RNAcentral.